Molecule: small RNA, 201 nt
Filed under: Arabidopsis thaliana (thale cress)
Lineage: Eukaryota; Viridiplantae; Streptophyta; Magnoliopsida; Brassicales; Brassicaceae
Description: ATSL212170
Source: RNAcentral
AAAAUAAUUAGGGUUCAAAAGCCGUUUAAUAUAAUGUUUUGCAUAGAAACUUGAACUGUUUCUUCAAAACAUCAUAUAAUAUGAAACAUAAGGAGUACAACAUAAGAAUAUAUGAAAAUGCAUAGAGAUUGGAUGAAGAACAAAAGAAAUUUACCUAUGUUUUACUUGUAAUUCAUUUUUUGUUUUGCUUAUAUUUUACUU